Molecule: ribosomal RNA, 257 nt
Filed under: uncultured bacterium
Lineage: Bacteria
Description: partial 16S ribosomal RNA
Rfam family: Bacterial small subunit ribosomal RNA
Source: RNAcentral
GACGAACCGUGCGAACGUUAUUCGGAAUCACUGGGCUUAAAGCGCGUGUAGGCGGAUCGGAACGUCGGUCGCUGAAAUCCCCCGGCUUAACCGGGGAACGGGCGCCGAAACGACCGGUCUGGAGGAACGUAGGGGGAGCUGGAACUUCCGGUGGAGCGGUGAAAUGCGUUGAGAUCGGAAGGAACGCCCGUGGCGAAAGCGAGCUCCUGGACGUUUUUCUGACGCUGAGACGCGAAAAGCCAGGGGAGCGAACGGGG